ACGCGCACUGGCCCGCGCCCAGCCUCCGCUAGGGGACCCCCUCCAUGGCUUCCCACCGGGUUGUUCCAGGCCUCAGCUUCGCCGAAAGGCCUCACCACCUCCGACCUCCGCCUGCCCUGGGGAUGCUCCCAGCCCUGCUGCGGCAGAACGCGACAUGCUAACCGCAAUCCCUAGGCCGCCUGUCUCCUACCCAUACUUAGAGGCCCCGCUCAGACGGUCCUUAAAACGUCUGAAAGGCCGUUCCUGCCAGAGUCCCUGCUACCUGUUACCUCCACCCCUAUUUAGUCCUAGUGGACAGCCUCGCUCACCUUCCCUGGGAUGACACUUCUGGCGGCUGAGAUGAGCGAGCCUCUCUGGGCUCUGCCGCCGGGUGUGGGCUGACCUGCCUACAGCUGGGGCCUGAUAAGGCAGCAGCAAAAGGGUGGAGGGGAGGCAGUGUUGAAGCUGGGGCAAGUAAUUUUCCCCAAUUUACAGGGAAAAACCGAAAUUCAGAAAAGUUUAAUGUCACCCAGGGGCUGGAGCCCAGACCUCUGGCAGCUCUCACUUUCACAAUGCCCUUGGGCUGACUAGGCUGCAGAGGGGUUUCACCCCAACCCCAGGGCACCUCAGGUGUCCCCACCAAACCUUCCUAACACCUGUCCACUAAGUAGAGAGGCCUCUCAGGGGGCUAGCUGUACUAGGCCCUUGCAACUGACCUAUGGGACCUGAGGCCUGGCCCCUCAUGGCUCCUGUCACCAGGUCUCAGGUCAGGGUCCAGCAGGCCCUGAGCUGACGUAUGGAGCCAGAGCCACCCAAUCCCGUAGGGACAGGUUUCACAACUUCCCGGAUGGGGCUGUGGUGGGUCACAGUGCAGCCUCCAGCCAGAAGGAUGGGGUGGCUCCCACUCCUGCUGCUUCUGACUCAAUGCUUAGGGGCCCCUGGUGAGUGCCCCCAACCCUGAUCCCCAUCUGCCUUCAGGAGGGGUUGGCCCCAUUCUCCUAUUCUAGGAUGAGAAAAAAGUCGGGGAGCCAGAGGCUCAGUGGGCAUGGGGCAGUGACCUUGCCCUCUUGAGCACAGCUGGGAAGCCCUAGGAACACAUAGACAUUGCCCACUCAGGCCUCUAUUAGCACAUCUGCUCUAGCACUGAAGCAGUGUCAGGACCACACAGAUGCACGCACACAGCAGGCAGUGACCCCUCCUGAGCCUGAUCUACCCCUCUAACCUAGCAUAUGCCUUUGUGCAGGUGAGAGCCCAGAUUUGGAGUCUGAAUGCCUAGCCAGGGCCCCUGGCUGGGUAAUGUGAUGGCUCUGAGCCUUAGCAUUCUCAUUUGAGAGAUGAGGUGGGGCAAGCUUCAUCACCCACUGCUCUCACAGAGCGUAUGUGUUAGAUCUGAGCCCGGUGCCUGGGCCACUAAACAGAGGCAUUGGUGAUAACUACCAAGUCUGGGCCUGCUUCCCAGGGGAAAUUUUUUUCACAAGUAUCUGUGCAGGGGGCUAGACUGGCCCUUGAAAGUGCAUACAGGGUCCAUCCCAGAAGCCUUGUAGCUUUGAUCCCCUGAAUGAACAAAGUGUGGACAUGCCAAUACACAUUACUGACAUGUAUGCCCACCUGACCUGCACCCACUCAUGCCCACUCUGCAGGGCAGCGCUCGCCAUUGAAUGACUUCCAGGUGCUCCGGGGCACAGAGCUACAGCACCUGCUACAUGCGGUGGUGCCCGGGCCUUGGCAGGAGGAUGUGGCAGAUGCUGAAGAGUGUGCUGGUCGCUGUGGGCCCUUAAUGGACUGCCGGGCCUUCCACUACAACGUGAGCAGCCAUGGUUGCCAACUGCUGCCAUGGACUCAACACUCGCCCCACACGAGGCUGCGGCGUUCUGGGCGCUGUGACCUCUUCCAGAAGAAAGGCAAGUGGGGGUGGAGAGGGGCAGGGUGGGAGACAGGGGACCUCAGCCCAAGUUGAUCUUCUGUCUCUUGCUCCCAGACUACGUACGGACCUGCAUCAUGAACAAUGGGGUUCGGUACCGGGGCACCAUGGCCACGACCGUGGGUGGCCUGCCCUGCCAGGCUUGGAGCCACAAGUUCCCGAAUGAUCACAAGUGAGACAAACACCUUCCCUCCGUCCCGGCCUGGGGCCUUCCCCCAGCACACACUAUAGUGAUGCUCUGGGCCCUCAGGUACACGCCCACGCUCCGGAAUGGCCUGGAAGAGAACUUCUGCCGUAACCCUGAUGGCGACCCCGGAGGUCCUUGGUGCUACACAACAGACCCUGCCGUGCGCUUCCAGAGCUGCGGCAUCAAAUCCUGCCGGGAGGCCGCGUGUGUCUGGUGCAAUGGCGAGGAAUACCGCGGCGCGGUAGACCGCACGGAGUCAGGGCGCGAGUGCCAGCGCUGGGAUCUUCAGCACCCGCACCAGCACCCCUUCGAGCCGGGCAAGUUCCUCGACCAAGGUCUGGACGACAACUAUUGCCGGAAUCCUGACGGCUCCGAGCGGCCAUGGUGCUACACUACGGAUCCGCAGAUCGAGCGAGAGUUCUGUGACCUCCCCCGCUGCGGGUCCGAGGCACAGCCCCGCCAAGAGGCCACAACUGUCAGCUGCUUCCGCGGGAAGGGUGAGGGCUACCGGGGCACAGCCAAUACCACCACCGCGGGCGUACCUUGCCAGCGUUGGGACGCGCAAAUCCCGCAUCAGCACCGAUUUACGCCAGAAAAAUACGCGUGCAAGUGAGGUGGGGGGGGCGGGCGUUGGGACGUGCUGCUGCGGGUGAGACGGGAGGAGGGUAGUCACGGGCUCAGGGCUGGAGGCUGGCGGGCUAGGGCUGAGUGGAGCGCCUGCUUAGAGACCUUCGGGAGAACUUCUGCCGGAACCCCGACGGCUCAGAGGCGCCCUGGUGCUUCACACUGCGGCCCGGCAUGCGCGUGGCCUUUUGCUACCAGAUCCGGCGUUGUACAGACGACGUGCGGCCCCAGGGUGAGGCCCAAGCUUGGGGGAUACAGAGCCGGGGCUGGAAGCCUGGAACCGGAGGGCCGGGGCGAGGUCUCGGCCUGAUGGCUGCCCGCACCCGCCACAGACUGCUACCACGGCGCAGGGGAGCAGUACCGCGGCACGGUCAGCAAGACCCGCAAGGGUGUCCAGUGCCAGCGCUGGUCCGCUGAGACGCCGCACAAGCCGCAGUGAGUCCCUGGUGCUCCCGGCCCCGCCAGGGCCCUAACCCUGGGGCGGCAUGCUUUGGUGUCUGGGACCAGAGCCUGGAAAUGGUUGAGACUACCCUGCCACGAUUUUGCUCCCGCUUCCGCCUAGGUUCACGUUUACCUCCGAACCGCAUGCACAACUGGAGGAGAACUUCUGCCGGAACCCAGAUGGGGAUAGCCAUGGGCCCUGGUGCUACACGAUGGACCCAAGGACCCCAUUCGACUACUGUGCCCUGCGACGCUGCGCUGAUGACCAGCCGCCAUCAAUCCUGGAUCCCCCAGACCAGGUGCAGUUUGAGAAGUGUGGCAAGAGGGUGGAUCGGCUGGAUCAGCGUCGUUCCAAGCUGCGCGUGGUUGGGGGCCAUCCGGGCAACUCACCCUGGACAGUCAGCUUGCGGAAUCGGGCCAGCAUUUCUGCGGGGGGUCUCUAGUGAAGGAGCAGUGGAUACUGACUGCCCGGCAGUGCUUCUCCUCCUGCCAUAUGCCUCUCACGGGCUAUGAGGUAUGGUUGGGCACCCUGUUCCAGAACCCACAGCAUGGAGAGCCAGGCCUACAGCGGGUCCCAGUAGCCAAGAUGGUGUGUGGGCCCUCAGGCUCCCAGCUUGUCCUGCUCAAGCUGGAGAGAUCUGUGACCCUGAACCAGCGUGUGGCCCUGAUCUGCCUGCCCCCUGAAUGGUAUGUGGUGCCUCCAGGGACCAAGUGUGAGAUUGCAGGCUGGGGUGAGACCAAAGGUACGGGUAAUGACACAGUCCUAAAUGUGGCCUUGCUGAAUGUCAUCUCCAACCAGGAGUGUAACAUCAAGCACCGAGGACGUGUGCGGGAGAGUGAGAUGUGCACUGAGGGACUGUUGGCCCCUGUGGGGGCCUGUGAGGGUGACUACGGGGGCCCACUUGCCUGCUUUACCCACAACUGCUGGGUCCUGGAAGGAAUUAUAAUCCCCAACCGAGUAUGCGCAAGGUCCCGCUGGCCAGCUGUCUUCACGCGUGUCUCUGUGUUUGUGGACUGGAUUCACAAGGUCAUGAGACUGGGUUAGGCCCAGCCUUGAUACCAUAUGCCUUGGGGAGGACAAAACUUCUUGUCAGACA
RNAcentral lists this small RNA (4249 nucleotides) under Pan troglodytes (chimpanzee). RNAcentral's name for it is "retained intron". The record is from RNAcentral. Lineage: Eukaryota; Metazoa; Chordata; Mammalia; Primates; Hominidae.